RNAcentral lists this ribosomal RNA (450 nucleotides) under uncultured bacterium. RNAcentral's name for it is "partial 16S ribosomal RNA". It matches the Rfam family "Bacterial small subunit ribosomal RNA", at positions 355 to 797 of the family's 1533-position model. The record is from RNAcentral.
UAGGGAAUCUUCGGCAAUGGGGGCAACCCUGACCGAGCAACGCCGCGUGAGUGAAGAAGGUUUUCGGAUCGUAAAGCUCUGUUGUAAGUCAAGAACGGGUGUGAGAGUGGAAAGUUCACACUGUGACGGUAGCUUACCAGAAAGGGACGGCUAACUACGUGCCAGCAGCCGCGGUAAUACGUAGGUCCCGAGCGUUGUCCGGAUUUAUUGGGCGUAAAGCGAGCGCAGGCGGUUUGAUAAGUCUGAAGUUAAAGGCUGUGGCUCAACCAUAGUUCGCUUUGGAAACUGUCAAACUUGAGUGCAGAAGGGGAGAGUGGAAUUCCAUGUGUAGCGGUGAAAUGCGUAGAUAUAUGGAGGAACACCGGUGGCGAAAGCGGCUCUCUGGUCUGUAGCUGACGCUGAGGCUCGAAAGCGUGGGGAGCGAACAGGAUUAGAUACCCUGGUAGUCCA